GGGGAUGUAGCUCAGUGGUAGAGCGCAUGCUUCGCGUGUAUGAGGCCCUGGGUUCAAUCCCCGGCAACACCA
This 72-nucleotide transfer RNA is filed under the name Xenopus tropicalis (tropical clawed frog). RNAcentral describes it as "Xenopus (Silurana) tropicalis (western clawed frog) tRNA". It matches the Rfam family "tRNA". Rfam says of the family: Transfer RNA (tRNA) molecules are approximately 80 nucleotides in length. Their secondary structure includes four short double-helical elements and three loops (D, anti-codon, and T loops). Lineage: Eukaryota; Metazoa; Chordata; Amphibia; Anura; Pipidae. The record is from Rfam by way of RNAcentral.